This 1476-nucleotide long non-coding RNA is filed under the name Gossypium raimondii (Peruvian cotton). RNAcentral describes it as "long non-coding RNA (GRAI_LNC004538)". Lineage: Eukaryota; Viridiplantae; Streptophyta; Magnoliopsida; Malvales; Malvaceae. The record is from RNAcentral.
AUUCUAUUCCCUAUUUUAAAUUUUGUUUUGUUUUUAUUUUUUUUAAUUUUUUAAUUUUCUUAUUUUAUUUUAUUUAGUGUGUUUAGUUUUUUUCCCAAAGUAGGUGUAGAUACCAUAAAGGGACAAAAUUGAAAAAAAGAAGAAGAAAUGAAGUAGCUAGAAACUGCGCUUGAUGUCUCAACCUCGUACCCUAAUGCCGCGACAUCCUAAACAGAACAUAACCUCAAAAAUUUAAAGGGCCAAGUUCAUCUGAGACUAUUUUUUUUUGGUGCUCUUUUGUCCACUUGAAGCGCACAUAACCCGAGAUGGUCAUAACAACAAUGAUUCAACCGAUUCAAGGAAGUUUUCUUGUUUUUGCAGUUUAAUUAUUUUUAUACUACAGGCAAGGUAUGUUCUAAAGUGUGGGGAAAAGUACAUAGGAUUAGUUUGUGUAUGAUUUCAUUUGUGUGUUUGCUUUGAUUAUUUAUUAAAUAAAUUAUUAUUGUUGUAUGGUGCUUGGAUUAUAUUAACAAUGUGAAUAGUGGUUGAAAAUAAUGAAGCAUGUAAUGAUUUUUGUCAAGCAUGAACUUUUUUAUUGGUAUGAGAUAAUUUGAUUAUUUUUAAGGAGAACUGAUUAAGUUAUUUAGUUAAAUUGCAUAAUAUAUUAGAAGUACCUAAGUAAGAAUGUUUGAUGAUGCCAUAUGAGAUAUAAGUCUUUUAGAUAGUCUUAGAGACAUUAUUGCCAUAUGUGUGUCUAGACUUGGUUUGCUUGAGGACAAGCAAAAGGUUAAGUGUAGGGGAGUUUAGGUGUGAGGUCCAUUUUUACAUCCAUGUUCACGAACUCUAGCUUGUUUAAAGAAAGAAUCCAAGUCAAACAAAAAAAAAUUAUGAUUUUGCCUUUUUCCUUAUUUAUUUUAUGUUUUUUGAUUUGGUUUACUUUUAUUUAGAACAAAAUCUAUUCUUUUUGUUUUCAUACCUUCUUUAUCGUUUAUUUUAAUUCUAUGUUUAUUAUUUUAAUUCUAUGUUUACGUUGCUUGAGGACAAACAAUGAGUUAAAUGUGGGGGAGUUUGAUCUACCAUAAUUCGGUGUAGUAGAUUAAACUAGUUUUCAAACUUAAGAAGCCUGAAUACAAGUAUUUUCAUUACAUUUUAGUUAAGUUUCUUUAGUUUUAUUUACAUUCAAUAAAAUGUGCAAAUUGAGUCUUUUAUUAACUUUAAAGGCCAAAUGAAGCCUAAGGGAGAGCUAACGUACUUUGUAAGUGUGCAGGAGAAGAUUAGAAGGCAUUUUAGGUUGAAAUGGGAUGCUAUGUUCUCCUGCACACUUACAAAGCAUAGGGAACAUAAUGAAGAAAACUCAAGUCUACCUUUGAUGUCACAGCAUAGACUGAGGAUGUCACAACAUACCCUUGCAAAUGGCUAAAGAAGAGCAUACUAGUUACUGUGUUGCGACACAGGUCCUAGUGUAUCAUGACAUCGACUCUGGGACAGAAAUUAAAC